Molecule: ribosomal RNA, 515 nt
Filed under: uncultured bacterium
Lineage: Bacteria
Description: partial 16S ribosomal RNA
Rfam family: Bacterial small subunit ribosomal RNA
Source: RNAcentral
GAUGAACGCUGGCGGCGUGCCUAAUACAUGCAAGUCGAGCGAAUGGAUUAAGAGCUUGCUCUUAUGAAGUUAGCGGCGGACGGGUGAGUGACACGUGAGUAACCUGCCCAUAAGACUGGGAUAACUCCGGGAAACCGGGGCUAAUACCGGAUAACAUUUUGAACCGCAUGGUUCGAAAUUGAAAGGCGGCUUCGGCUGUCACUUAUGGAUGGACCAGCGUCGCAUUAGCUAGUUGGUGAGGUAACGGCUCACCAAGGCAACGAUGCGUAGCCGACCUGAGAGGGUGAUCGGCCACACUGGGACUGAGACACGGCCCAGACUCCUACGGGAGGCAGCAGUAGGGAAUCUUCCGCAAUGGACGAAAGUCUGACGGAGCAACGCCGCGUGAGUGAUGAAGGCUUUCGGGUCGUAAAACUCUGUUGUUAGGGAAGAACAAGUGCUAGUUGAAUAAGCUGGCACCUUGACGGUACCUAACCAGAAAGCCACGGCUAACUACGUGCCAGCCGCCGCUGUAA